GAUGAACGCUGGCGGCGUGCCUAAUACAUGCAAGUCGAGCGAACAGACGAGGAGCUUGCUCCUCUGAUGUUAGCGGCGGACGGGUGAGUAACACGUGGAUAACCUACCUAUAAGACUGGGAUAACUUCGGGAAACCGGAGCUAAUACCGGAUAACAUGUUGAACCGCAUGGUUCAACAGUGAAAGACGGUCUUGCUGUCACUUAUAGAUGGAUCCGCGCCGCAUUAGCUAGUUGGUAAGGUAACGGCUUACCAAGGCAACGAUGCGUAGCCGACCUGAGAGGGUGAUCGGCCACACUGGAACUGAGACACGGUCCAGACUCCUACGGGAGGCAGCAGUAGGGAAUCUUCCGCAAUGGGCGAAAGCCUGACGGAGCAACGCCGCGUGAGUGAAGAAGGUCUUCGGAUCGUAAAACUCUGUUAUUAGGGAAGAACAAAUGUGUAAGUAACUAUGCACGUCUUGACGGAACCAAAGCAGAAGGCCACGGCUAACUACGU
This 496-nucleotide ribosomal RNA is filed under the name uncultured bacterium. RNAcentral describes it as "partial 16S ribosomal RNA". It matches the Rfam family "Bacterial small subunit ribosomal RNA", at positions 28 to 506 of the family's 1533-position model. The record is from RNAcentral.